ACGGGAGGCAGCAGUGGGGAAUAUUGCACAAUGGGGGAAACCCUGAUGCAGCGACGCCGCGUGAAGGAUGACGUAUUUCGGUAUGUAAACUUCUAUCAGCAAGGAAGAUGAUGACGGUACUUGACUAAGAAGCCCCGGCUAACUACGUGCCAGCAGCCGCGGUAAUACGUAGGGGGCGAGCGUUAUCCGGAUUUACUGGGUGUAAAGGGCGCGUAGGCGGGACGGCAAGUCAGGUGUGAAAUCUAUGGGCUUAACCCAUAAACUGCAUUUGAAACUGUCGUUCUUGAGUGCUGGAGAGGUAGACGGAAUUCCUUGUGUAGCGGUGAAAUGCGUAGAUAUAAGGAAGAACACCAGUGGCGAAGGCGGUCUACUGGACAGUAACUGACGCUGAGGCGCGAAAGCGUGGGGAGCAAACAGGAUUAGAUACCCUGGUA
Molecule: ribosomal RNA, 434 nt
Filed under: uncultured Oscillospiraceae bacterium
Lineage: Bacteria; Bacillati; Bacillota; Clostridia; Eubacteriales; Oscillospiraceae
Description: bacterial SSU rRNA
Rfam family: Bacterial small subunit ribosomal RNA
Source: RNAcentral